This 902-nucleotide ribosomal RNA is filed under the name uncultured bacterium. Its description in RNAcentral is "bacterial SSU rRNA". It matches the Rfam family "Bacterial small subunit ribosomal RNA", at positions 33 to 926 of the family's 1533-position model. The record is from RNAcentral.
ACGCUGGCGGCAGGCUUAACACAUGCAAGUCGAACGGUAACAGGAAUUAGCUUGCUAAUUUGCUGACGAGUGGCGGACGGGUGAGUAAUGCUUGGGAAUCUGGCUUAUGGAGGGGGAUAACUACGGGAAACUGUAGCUAAUACCGCGUAAAAUCUUCGGAUUAAAGGGUGGGACUUUCGAGCUACCUGCCAUAAGAUGAGCCCAAGUGGGAUUAGGUAGUUGGUUAGGUAAAGGCUGACCAAGCCGACGAUCUCUAGCUGGUCUGAGAGGAUGACCAGCCACACUGGAACUGAGACACGGUCCAGACUCCUACGGGAGGCAGCAGUGGGGAAUAUUGCACAAUGGGGGGAACCCUGAUGCAGCCAUGCCGCGUGAAUGAAGAAGGCCUUCGGGUUGUAAAGUUCUUUCGGUGACGAGGAAGGUUGAUAGGUUAAUAGCCUAUCAAAUUGACGUUAAUCACAGAAGAAGCACCGGCUAACUCCGUGCCAGCAGCCGCGGUAAUACGGGGGGUGCGAGCGUUAAUCGGAAUAACUGGGCGUAAAGGGCACGCAGGCGGUGACUUAAGUGAGAUGUGAAAGCCCCGAGCUUAACUUGGGAAUUGCAUUUCAUACUGGGUCGCUAGAGUACUUUAGGGAGGGGUAGAAUUCCACGUGUAGCGGUGAAAUGCGUAGAGAUGUGGAGGAAUACCGAAGGCGAAGGCAGCCCCUUGGGAAUGUACUGACGCUCAUGUGCGAAAGCGUGGGGAGCAAACAGGAUUAGAUACCCUGGUAGUCCACGCUGUAAACGAUGUCGAUUUGGGGAUUGGGCUUUGAGCUUGGUGCCCGUAGCUAACGUGAUAAAUCGACCGCCUGGGGAGUACGGCCGCAAGGUUAAAACUCAAAUGAAUUGACGGGGGCCCGCAC